CCAAUGGAAAUAUUUAUCAUCAUCCCUUCUUCCUCAGGUUUGGCAGGGCAGCGAUCAUCUAUGGGGCCAGGUACCCAUACACUAUCAUUAACAUAUACUUCUGUAGGAUUAUCCAUCCAUGUGACUGCCCGAAUUAAGGGCGGGAAAGGCACAUAGGCCCAGUAGGUAUAGUUAGCUGCAGCUGCUCCUGCAGGCAUAGGGAGACUUACCACCAUUGAUACAAUCAUCAAGGCUGCAAGCAGCAUACUCUCUGGGGUUUGUGUCACCUUUGUGUUCUCUAGAUAUUUUGUAGCUAACUGCGUCAGCUUCUUUAGUUGUGCCCAAGUUGGCGGCUCUGCCUUCUUGGUGGAUGGCAACUUCAGUAGCUAACUGCGUCAGCUUCUUUAGUUGUGCCCAAGUUGGCGGCUCUGCCUUCUUGGUGGAUGGCAACUUCAUCUGUUCUUCUGACGUCACCAUUUUGUUCAUCUUGUGAGUCAACGGUGCUCGAUUGCGAUGUCUCCGUCUCCGCGGAGGUGCUUUUCUUUGCAUCUCUGAUGGGUUCAUUGUAGAACUUCAAAUGUCUAGUGGGUAUCCAAACAGGAAGCUGAUUUUCUCCUGGUGAAACACAAGCAAAACCUCUCCCCCACGUUAUCACCUUCCCUAUUUCCCAUGUCUUAUUUUUAUUAUCUUUCCACCAAAUUAGUUUUCCUUCAUGUGGGCUGUUCUUUUUACCAGUAAGAUGUUGUUCUGCAGAAGUAGUAGUCUGAUUUCUAUAAAUGUUUAAAAAAUUUAAAGUAUAGAGUGCUAGAUUAAGUUGCAUCUGAGGAGUGGUACACUCCUUACUGUCUCCCCCUUCUUUUUGUUUAACUAAUUGAGUUUUGAGUGUUCUAUUAGUUCUUUCAACUAUGGCCUGUCCUUGGGAAUUAUAAGGAAUUCCUGUUGUAUGUGAAAUUUUCCACUGACUUAAGAAUUUUUGGAAAGCUUUACUACAAUAUCCUGGUCCAUUGUCAGUUUUGAUUUUUUCUGGAACUCCCAUUACAGCAAAACAAGACAAUAAAUGUUUUUUAACAUGGGAAGUACUUUCUCCUGUUUGGCAAGUUGCCCAUAUGAAAUGUGAAUAAGUAUCAACUGUUACGUGAACAUAUGAUAAUCUUCCAAAUGAAGGUACAUGCGUGACAUCCAUUUGCCAUAAUGCAUUAGGACACAGACCUCUGGGAUUAACUCCUGCCUCUUGAGUGGGCAGGUGUAAGACUUGACACUGGGUGCAAUGUUGUACAAUAUCUUUUGCCUGUUUCCAUGUGACAUCAAAUUUGUUUUUUAAUCCUGCUGCAUUUACAUGAGUCAAAGCAUGAAGUUCUUGUGCUUUUAUGAGUGCAGAUGAUACCAGUAAGUCAGCUUGUUCAUUUGCUUUAGUCAAAGGCCCUGGUAAAUUAGUGUGUGCUCGAAUAUGUGUAAUAUAAAAUGGGAAAUUUCUUUUUCUUACAGUUUGUUGUAAUAAAUUGAAUAGCUGGUUUAACUGAUCAUCCAUGCUAUAUUUAAUUAGAGCUGUCUCAACAUCCCUUGUAGCCUGUACUACAUAUGCAGAAUCUGAUAUAAUAUUGAUAGGUUGGUCAAAAUCUUGUAACACUGUAAUGACUGCAACCAACUCUGCUCUUUGAGCCGAUUGAUAUGGAGUUUUGAUUACUCGUUCUUUCGGUCCUGUGUAAGCUGCUUUUCCAUUGCUGGAACCAUCAGUAAAUACUGUUAGAGCAUUUUCUAAAGGUUCACGUCUGGUAAUUUUAGGUAGAAUCCAAGUAGUCAAU
RNAcentral lists this long non-coding RNA (1781 nucleotides) under Homo sapiens (human). RNAcentral's name for it is "HSALNT0339034". Lineage: Eukaryota; Metazoa; Chordata; Mammalia; Primates; Hominidae. The record is from RNAcentral.